RNAcentral lists this non-coding RNA (216 nucleotides) under Streptomyces sp. WM4235. RNAcentral describes it as "Bacterial large subunit ribosomal RNA". It matches the Rfam family "Bacterial large subunit ribosomal RNA", at positions 486 to 688 of the family's 2925-position model. Lineage: Bacteria; Bacillati; Actinomycetota; Actinomycetes; Kitasatosporales; Streptomycetaceae. The record is from Rfam by way of RNAcentral.
GAUAGCGGAUAGUACCGUGAGGGAAUGGUGAAAAGUACCGCGGGAGCGGAGUGAAAUAGUACCUGAAACCGUGUGCCUACAAGCCGUGGGAGCGUCGCGCAUUGAGUUUACUCAAUGCGUCGUGACUGCGUGCCUUUUGAAGAAUGAGCCUGCGAGUUAGCGGUGUGUAGCGAGGUUAACCCGUGUGGGGAAGCCGUAGCGAAAGCGAGUCCGAAU